AUGGGGCGCCGGAAGGCCACGGCGGGGCCGGCUCGGGGCUCCUCGAGGGCUGGCGACGGCGUAAUCUCCGAAAUCCGGGAGAAACAUAAAUUGGAAUUGGAGAAUUUGACACUAACAAAGCACCCAUUCAGGACAUUGCACUUCUUCAAUUUAGCUAUGUUGCAAUACUUGAAAAGAUCAGUAGCAUAUAUCCUGAGUAAAAGAGCUUUGUUUGUUCUCCUAAUUGUUAUGGUGGUAAUUCCUGGAGUUGCACUUCUGGUUACUGAUGGUCUGCACAAAAAGCAUGUGCAGGAGUUCCUUAAUUAUGCUAGAUUUGUGUUGUGGUGGGUUUCAUUAGGUGUGGCCUCUUCAAUCGGACUAGGUUCAGGUUUGCAUACGUUUGUGCUGUAUCUUGGGCCCCACAUUGCUCUCUUCACUAUUAAGGCUGUUCAAUGUGGCCGUGUUGAUUUGAAGACUGCUCCAUAUGAUACCAUACUGCUUAAACAGGCGCCAUCAUGGCUUGACAAGAAGUGUUCGGAAUUUGGAUCUCCCAUGUAUCCUUCAUCAGAUCAUUCAGUGAUGAUCCCAGUCUUUGAUUUACUCCCUCAGGUUCAGUUGGAAGCUGUUCUUUGGGGUAUUGGGACAGCACUUGGCGAGCUCCCUCCUUAUUUUAUAUCACGAGCUGCUCGUUUGUCAGGAAGUGAGUUAGAAGCUGUCAAGGAGCUAGAUGUUGCUCCUUCGUCAGAAGAUGGUCCAAUAGCAUGUACUGUGAAUCGUACAAAACGCUGGCUCCUUUCUCAUUCACAGCAUCUCAACUUCUUCACUAUCUUGAUACUUGCUUCGGUUCCAAACCCGCUGUUUGACCUUGCUGGUAUUAUGUGUGGUCAAUUUGGUAUACCCUUCUGGGAGUUUUUCUUUGCAACUUUGAUCGGGAAGGCCAUCAUCAAAACUCAUAUUCAGACACUGUUUAUCAUCUCGUUGUGCAACAACCAACUCUUGUAUUUUAUGGAGAAGGAGUUGAUCUGGAUAUUUGAGCACAUUCCUGGGUUUUCAGCGACCCUGCCAUCUGUAAUUGCCAAACUCCACAGUGCUAAGGAGAAGUAUUUAUCACCACCUGUGUCAGUCUCACAUUCACAAAUGGAGGAUAAACAGUGGAAUUUCUCUUUUGCGUUGGUCUGGAACACUGUAGUGUGGCUUGUGCUUGUGAACUUCUUCAUUAAGAUCGUCACAUCAACAGCUCAGGAUUAUCGCAAAAGGCAGCAGGACAUAGAGAUGGAGCUCAUUACUGAUUCCUCGCCCCAGAAUCAUUCGAAAACUAACUAA
This 1302-nucleotide ribosomal RNA is filed under the name Triticum aestivum (bread wheat). RNAcentral describes it as "partial small subunit ribosomal RNA". The record is from RNAcentral. Lineage: Eukaryota; Viridiplantae; Streptophyta; Magnoliopsida; Poales; Poaceae.